UACGUAGGGUGCGAGCGUUGUCCGGAAUUAUUGGGCGUAAAGGGCUCGUAGGCGGUUUGUCGCGUCUGCUGUGAAAGUCCGGGGCUCAACUCCGGAUCUGCGGUGGGUACGGGCAGACUAGAGUGAUGUAGGGGAGACUGGAAUUCCUGGUGUAGCGGUGAAAUGCGCAGAUAUCAGGAGGAACACCGAUGGCGAAGGCAGGUCUCUGGGCAUUAACUGACGCUGAGGAGCGAAAGCAUGGGGAGCGAACAGG
RNAcentral lists this ribosomal RNA (253 nucleotides) under uncultured bacterium. Its description in RNAcentral is "partial 16S ribosomal RNA". It matches the Rfam family "Bacterial small subunit ribosomal RNA", at positions 524 to 776 of the family's 1533-position model. The record is from RNAcentral.